Long non-coding RNA from Dioscorea cayenensis subsp. rotundata (Guinea yam), 449 nucleotides. RefSeq lists it as uncharacterized. The transcript has 3 exons. The record is from RefSeq and is a predicted model, not a curated record. Lineage: Eukaryota; Viridiplantae; Streptophyta; Magnoliopsida; Dioscoreales; Dioscoreaceae.
AGAACUUCGGCGAAGGUUUUAUUUGGGCGGUUGGGUCCGGCGAGGUGGUGGAGUGGAUUCCGGAGGGGUUUGAGAAGAGAGUUCAAAGAUUGGCAUCCAUUUAAAUCCCCCCAUGGAGUCUCGGUUCUCCAAGCUGAGAACUUGCUGCUGAGGCUCUUACAAUAAUGUUACUGUGCUGGAGACGCCGGAUGUUGAGAGUGAAGUGAAGAGUGAGGGUGAUGGGCUGCCGGUGUUCCAGGAGUAUUCUUUUGAGCAGCUCCGGCUUGCUACAUUUGGGUUUGCGGUAGAGAACAUUGUGUCCGAGCAUAGGGAGAAGGCGCCUAAUGUAGUGUACAAGGAGAAGUUAGAUGUGCAACGCAGGAUUGCUGUUAAGCGGUUCAAUCAUGCUGCAUGGCCUGAUCCUCGCCAGUUCUUGGAAGAAACGAGAUCCGUUGGUCAACUUAGAAGCC